AUCACUCACUGUGGGGAAAGCUGGCUGCCAUGAUGUGAGAACACUCAACAAGUCCUAUGGGGAGACCCACAUGGUGAGGAACUGAGGCCACCUGCCAAAGGCAGUGUGAGGGCGCCAUCUUGAAAGUGGACCCUCCAGCCCCAGGCAAGCCUUCACAUAAGACUGCAGCCCCAGCUGAUAUCUUGACUGCCACCUCAUGAAAGACCAUGAACCACAGCCAUCCAGCUAUGCUGCUCCAAGUUCCUGACUCACAGAAACUAGUUUGAUGGAAGCAAGAAACAAAAUCGACUCUUCAGUUUUGAAAUAUACAGGAAGACUGGCUUCCGUCUUGUGGCACUCUCUUGUUUUCUUGUCUGUUGGCUGCAUCGAAACAACGAUCGUGUGUGAGCUACCCUAAAGAGAAUCACACGUGGUGAUGAACUGACAGAGGCCUCCGGCCAAUAGCUAAUGAGGAACUGAGGCCCUCGGUGUCACAGCCCAUGAGGAACCGAUCCUGCCCCCACCACUGAUUUCACUUGGAAGUGGAUCCUGCCCCGUUGGAACCUUGAGAUGAGCCCACAGCUGUGGUUGACACCUUGGUUGCAUCUGUGAGAGGCCGUCAGCCAGAGGACCCGGCUCAGCCACGCCUGGAUUCCUGUCCCACUGAAACUGGAACCCAGCAAGUCACGGGACACCCUGAAAUGUAAUUAGUCCGGCAAGGGAGUUUCUGACUGGGCCCCGGGGACCCGCGAUGAGGGACAAUUGUAGGUGCCUUUGUCUCUUUGCGAUUCGAGGUUGGGUGUGGACGGAAGAACAAAGGUGCAGAAGGAGGCGGGAAAAGACACAGACGCAAGCUGAGGCGGCCGUGGGAAAUACCACAGGAGUUCAGGAUAUGAAAUCAGGCUAGGGUCUCAGGUUCCCUUCACCCCGCCAUGUGGCCUCGAAGAUGGUGUUCAGCCCUGCUGGGUCCCUGUGUCUUCGUCUCUACCCUAGGCACGGCACACUUUUCCUCUCUAUCGUGCAGCGAAGAGUAAAUCCAAAAGCACACGGAAGGAGACCAUGACAGGGCCUUUGUUAUUUGUGCCAAACGCACCUUCACCGGGUGCCCCCCACGCCAUGGCCCGUGCCCGGGCCAUGGCGCUGGGCACGAGCCCUACCCUCCGGCGUGGUGGCAGGCCAGCAGGCAGUAUACGUUGUCGCAGGUGCACACAUCGCAGGUGCAACAAGAGAGCAGGACUUUUCCUAGACUGGAGGUCAGAGAAGAAGGUAGGGUGAGAGCAUGUGCAGAGAUGCUGAGGCCAGACAGUGCCUGGAGGGUGCUGAGAUUGAAGGGCCCCCCGUUUGAACGUGCCAGAGGAAGCGAGUGUCCCGGAAUGGCAGGAGCGAGCCCAGGCAGGGUCUCAGGCCAGCUGAGGCCAAUGGACUGAUUCCAGGGCCAUAGGGAGUCAUUAAAGGCAAUCAAUCAAGGGAUGGGGGCGGGCAGGCGUAGCUGAGGGCGCAAGAAACAUCUUAGAACA
Leopardus geoffroyi (Geoffroy's cat) is the source of this 1496-nucleotide long non-coding RNA. RefSeq lists it as uncharacterized. Lineage: Eukaryota; Metazoa; Chordata; Mammalia; Carnivora; Felidae. The record is from RefSeq and is a predicted model, not a curated record. The transcript is spliced from 5 exons.